CUAUCGCCUUGGCAACGAGACGAGACACGGCGGGAGGAGUCAGCCGAGGCCGUAGUAGUCGGGAGCGAUCUCGACGAAGGGC
Non-coding RNA from Planctomycetes bacterium SCN 63-9, 82 nucleotides. NCBI's taxonomy places the organism in Bacteria, Pseudomonadati, Planctomycetota. The record is from Rfam.